UGUCUGAGGUAAAGGGUACUGUUUCUGCUUUGCCGAGUCAUUCCUUUGUUCAGCUGUCUGAGGGAAGUAUCUCCUUGCUUUAGUUCUCUUCCCGAGUCAUUGCUUAAAGUAGGUGCGCUAGGUUAAGAUGAAAGGAAGGCAAGAGCAUGAAUAAGAGAGGCGGGGAAGUAUUAGUUGCUUACGUAGCUUUAAGAAUAGGGAACAAGUGAUCAGCUCCAUUCCUUAUUUAUAUAGGUAUGCAGGCUUUCAGCACCUUAUUUAUAUAGGUAUGCAGGUGAGAGAGCAAAAUGGAAUGUUUUAUUCGUUGCAACUAGUCCGGUUACUUGUGUUUAAGUCUGCGCAAGGAAAAGAGAAAACGAAUUCUAAAGAUGGUGCAGGUCCAGGCCCAACAUAAUAUACAGUGAGAGUGAAGUACUAUUACUCGAGUUCAAGAAGUUUAAGCCAUUAAGGAAGCAGUGCCAUAAGCUAGAUCCCGAUCAGAUGAAAAAGAUGGGGAUGCGGUGUAUUUACUUUUGUCUAUACCAGAUGCUCACUAGACUCUAAUUCGAAAGUGGAAUGUCCAGCUCAACAACUAAGGUCAAGUGAAAGGGAAAGGGAAAGCCGUUUGUCGUAGUAACUUGUCUGACGGAUAAGCUUGUUCCCUCCGCGCUAAGGAAUAGAAUUGAGGAUGAUGACAGGAACUAAUCCCGCUCUAAGCGUUAGCACCUAUCGGGAAACAGAACAAUCCAAAUAGGAUGUAUGGGAGCGGUAUAAGUCAAAGGAAGAGCGCAAAGAGUACGAGCAAAAGGUUAAGUGGAGAGAAGAGAGGUAAAAGGUGAUUGACCGAGCCGAGUAAGAGAUAGGUUCUUUUGAAAGAGUAUAGAUUCAGCUCUUUAAGAAUGCCUACUAUGCGGUUAAGUUUUCGCAGGGUAUAAAGAAUCGGUUCCUCAAGUCUUGUUCCAGUUAUCGUUUAAGAAGCUUUAUAUGGUACUGCCUUGUUACUCACUAGUUGACUUCUUUAAAGGAGUCCUCUUUACUUGGUACAAGAGUAAGAGUAAUCAAUCAGAAUUUAUUGACUUAUAGUACUAGAGCAAGAAAGAGAAUCAAUUUGUUUCAGAGGUAAACUUCACUUCUUACAAGAUGGGUGGGGGAACAAUAGAAUCUAGUUCGGGUGAGAGGUGGACUCGAGAAGAUGCUUUAUAUGAAUACGUAUAUUGACCAUUAUUUCUAUCCCAUGUGUUCACUUAUCGAAAAUAUUACUUUAUUGUUUCAGUAGCAAGUAUAGUUCUAGGGAUCAGAAGUAAGAGAAUCAGAAGGAAGGAGAAGAUUCCGUACGGUAUCAACGUUAAGGCACAAGUAAACUACAAGCCAAGCAUUAUAUAGAAACAAAGUAAUAAGACAUUAUUUUAUAUGAUCUCGCGGUAGUAAGGGGAGCAUCGCCUAUGACAAACUGAUUAUUGUUUCGGAGUGCUACAAUAUGAGUGACUAGAGUGCGGAGUGAGGAAGCCACGGUUUACGUGAAAGAAAAUAAUAUAUAUAAGCAAAUAUAUAAGUAUGCUGUUGAGCGCCGAUAAGAAGGUUUGAUAGGUAGGUUUAAGCAAAUAUAUAAGUAUGCUGUUGAGCGGCCGAUAAGAAGGUUUGAUAGGUUAUUUCCAACAAUUGAAGUUUACCCAGGCAGAAAACACUAAAAAGAAGGGAAAGGCCAAGCAUAUACUUGUCAGGUUUUAGUCCUUCUCGCCAACCCUAGUGAAACUCAAAAGUCAAAAUAAAACAUAUACUAAUAAGAAUUCAAAGAGGAGGAAGACUUCAACUCGGAUGUUAUAGGUCAUAUUAGCCCGAUGAACAAAGGUGAACUCUUAAUAAGAUAAUAAAAGAAGACUGAUUACUCAUCUCAAGAGGCGCUAUUGGAUGGUUGUUUCAUUUCAGAAUGUCAUAGCUAGAGCUAGCGUGUAGCUGCCAUUAGGUGGGUAGGUAUUCCUUCUU
RNAcentral lists this long non-coding RNA (1962 nucleotides) under Musa acuminata (dwarf banana). RNAcentral describes it as "long non-coding RNA (MACU_LNC007419)". The record is from RNAcentral. Lineage: Eukaryota; Viridiplantae; Streptophyta; Magnoliopsida; Zingiberales; Musaceae.